This 302-nucleotide ribosomal RNA is filed under the name Pseudoprotella phasma. RNAcentral's name for it is "partial 16S ribosomal RNA". Lineage: Eukaryota; Metazoa; Arthropoda; Malacostraca; Amphipoda; Caprellidae. The record is from RNAcentral.
GACGACAAGGCCCUAAAAGCUUUAUUUAUUUUUAAAAUUUUUAUAUAACUCUUUAAAUUAUAAAUUUUUAACUGGGGUAGUUUUAUAUUUUGUUUAUUUAAAUUAUCUAACUUUGUCUGGAUUUAUGAACCUUUAUAUAAGGGUGUUUGUUUAAGUUACUUUAGGGAUAACAGCACUUUGAAAUUUAAAAGAUCUUAUUGAUAAUUUAAAAAGUGACCUCGAUGUUGAAUUAAUAAACCUAUUAAGAGCAAGAUUUUAAAAAGGCGGUUUGUUCAACCUUUAAUUUAUUACAUGAUCUGGUU